ACGCAAUAAGGCGAUGGAGUUCGCCUAAACCGCUCGUUUGAGCUGAUGACUCCUACCAGACU
RNAcentral lists this non-coding RNA (62 nucleotides) under Paenibacillus sp. RNAcentral's name for it is "Fluoride sequence". It matches the Rfam family "Fluoride riboswitch aptamer (crcB RNA motif)". The record is from RNAcentral. Lineage: Bacteria; Bacillati; Bacillota; Bacilli; Caryophanales; Paenibacillaceae. RNAcentral also lists the same sequence under 1 other name.